GCCUACGGGGGGCAGCAGUAGGGAAUCUUCCCCAAUGGACGAAAGUCUGAUGGAGCAACGCCGCGUGAGUGAAGAAGGGUUUCGGCUCGUAAAGCUCUGUUGGUAGUGGAGAAAGAUAGAGGUGGUAACUGGCCUUUAUUUUACGGUAAUUACUUAGAAAGUCACGGCUAACUACGUGCCAGCAGCCGCGGUAAUACGUAGGUGGCAAGCGUUGUCCGGAUUUAUUGGGCGUAAAGCUAGUGCAGGCGGGUUCAUAAGGCU
This 261-nucleotide ribosomal RNA is filed under the name uncultured bacterium. Its description in RNAcentral is "partial 16S ribosomal RNA". It matches the Rfam family "Bacterial small subunit ribosomal RNA", at positions 337 to 590 of the family's 1533-position model. The record is from RNAcentral.